Globicephala melas (long-finned pilot whale) is the source of this 3055-nucleotide RNA transcript. It is a transcript of the gene named zinc finger protein 580, with no coding region annotated. Lineage: Eukaryota; Metazoa; Chordata; Mammalia; Artiodactyla; Delphinidae. The record is from RefSeq and is a predicted model, not a curated record.
UUAGGGCUCCCGGAAGGUUUACUGUCUUCGCCUCCUGCAUCCCGGGAUCAGACUCUCGGGAGGCCUCUCCUCAUAACUCACGGACAGCAAAGGCCAUGCCUGGAGGGGUCCAGGAGCACGAGGACGGAGAAGUCAGGCGGGCAGACACCCGGAACCAUUGUUCGCGGGUGUUUGUUUCCCGCCGGGGCGGAUUUCUGGGGCCGCGUCUGGCCGAGACGGAGGUAGGAGUGGGAGCCGUCUCCGGGCUCUCCGAGUCCACCACCCCGCGCGGCGGACCUCCUGGGGCCGCCCCUCGAGCCUCUUCCCACCGCGCUCGGACCCGAGAGACCUCCGCACCGCGAGCCGGCGCCGGGAGGUAGGCGCUGAGCUCCGGGCGACCGGAGAGGCCCGAGCGGUGCGUCCGCUGGGUCACUCGCUUAGACUCGAGGGCGCGGGAUGGAGAGGCUUUGAGCUGGUGAAUUCCGGAGAAAGAACUUCAUCUACUCGCCCGUCUGUCCUCCCCUCAGCCUCCCAAAGUGUACCUUGACCCUGAAUCUCUCUGGAGGCCAUGGGCCUCUCCCUCCCUAGGGUGGUCCCCGCCCCUAAGCCGGCCCCCUCCUCUUCCUCCACCCCCGCCAUCCCCAUCCCGCGGCCUCAGCCCGCCUCUCAGGGGCCGUCACCUGCUCCCUGACGGGAAUGGUGUUCCCUAUACGUGCACACGGAGGAGGCCCCCUGGCUGGAGCCCAACACCCCCCCACCCCGCUCCGCAAGGCUUCAGUUGUCCCCAGUGUUUUCAGGUCUUCAAGAGCUGCCCGCACCGCAGGAGCUACAGCAUCUCCCACUCAGAACUCCGGCCCUUCGUCUGCGGCAAGGCCUUCAAGCGCCCCGGCGAGGUAUCGCUUCAUUCGCCAGCUCCGGUUGGGUCGGGCUCACACCUGCCCGCUGUGUUCUGGCGUUUUCAGGAUGCCGGGCAGCAGGCGCAGCACGUUCUGGACCACUUGGCUGGAAGGAAUUUCCUGGACCAUGGAGAGACUGCAGGGGCUCCAUAGAAUCUCUUGUUUCUGGUACAGAAGACCUUUGCUAGGUUCUGAGGGUAGAAUGUUGCCUAGGACAGAGCUGGAAAAGCAGGCAGUAAAGUAGCAAAUCCAAAAACGAGCAAGACCACUACGGACUGCAGUACGAGAUGCGGAGGGAAUGGCCUGACCAGACGGAGCAGGGCCUCACCUGCUCACCAGCUUGAGCUCUGACACAACCAGCAGCCGCUUCAGUGACGAAGGAUUACUCGAGUUGAGACCUGAAUGGCCAGAAAGGGUGUGUCCUUGUGAGGGGCUGGGAGGAGUAUUCCAGAGGGCAGAACAGCAAACACAAGGCCCUGGAAGUAGGCCAGGUGGGCUGGCUGAGUUUUAUUCCAAGUGCAGCAAGGAGGGUUUUAGGUCAGGUGAUGACAUGAUUCUGUGGGUUAGCGUAAUUAUACUGCUGCAGUGUUGCCAUAGAGAGAAGGGACGGGGGGGGGGGGUUGCGGUGGGGAGGCUGUCAUGGUGAGCUGGGCCGGUGGCGGCAGUGGGUUGGGGAGAAGCAUGAGGUGCUUGCAGACAGUGGCCAUGAGCUCUGACUUGGUCAGUUAGAAGCACGUGCUGUCCAGCGGAUGUGUGACCUCUCGGAGCUCCUGUUUCCUCAUCUAUAAAAUAGGCAUCCGCAUGGCACCUCCCUCCUGGGUCUGCUCUGAGGGUUCAGUGCAUUUAGCGAUGGCUGGCACCAUAGGAAGGGCCCAAUAAACGUUGGUCCUUGUCAUUAUUUCCAGAGUUCGAGGUGGGCUGGGCUGGGCUGGGCGUGGCUGGGCGUGGCUCUCAUGGACAAAGCAAGUUUCAUGGGUCUGAAACUCAAGCAAGGGAUCUGGGUGGGAGACUCCUGUGGUAGUUGUGUGUGGAGCCCAGGAUCUAUGCUGCCCCCUGGGGGACAUUUGGCCAAGUCUCUUGUCACAGCUAGGGGGCAGUGAGAUUGAGGGGUGAGAGACGGUGCUCCUGGCAUCUGAAGCGUGGAGGCCAGGGACGCUGCUCCAUGUCCUGCAGUGCACAGGACAGCCCCCCACAACAAAGAAUGAUCCAGCCCCCAAAUGUCAGUAGUGCCAAAGUUGAGAAGCCUGGUGCAGACAGAAGGUGUAAUUACCCCUUUAAACCGCGCACACCCUUCCAGUUCACCAGUUUCCACUCUCCCUACUGCCCCCCACCCCAUAAAAUUACAAAAGAGGAAGAACCUCUAGGACAACAGUUUCCGGUAGAGAGCCAUGCUUUAAAAAGUGAAGAGGAACAGCUGAAAUUAAUUUAAUAACAUACUUAACCAGUCAGUAGACCCAGAGCAUCAUUUCUAAAUGUUAUCAACAGAGAAGUCAUUCAUGAGAUACUUUACACUCUUUUCAUACUCAGUCUUCAGAAUCUUUUAGGUGUCUUGCAUUUAUGACACAUCUCAGUUCAGACCGGACACAUGCCAAACGCUUAAGAGCUAUCUGUGGCCGGUGGCUGCCCUUUAGGACAGCACAGUUCUGGAGGCUCUUUAAUUGAAGCCUAAGAUCACAGUUGUUGGUUCACUGGAGGUUUCUUGAAGGUUUUCUGAGAAUGCUUAAUCGCCUCAUCUAGAGACUUUUUUCUAUAGCUGGCAAUGUGUGUGUGCAUCUUCUGGCUUUUUAAAUAUUGCCCAGUAAAACAUUAAGACAUAUCUGUGAUCCAAACCAAAUAUAACUGUGCCCUCUCUGGCCGGCGGGUCUCCAGUUUGCAACUGGUUGAGGGUGGCUUAGGAGCUGUACCGUAAGGUGGGCAGCGGUUAGCCACCUGUGGCUAUUUAGAUUUAAAUUAAGAGAAAUGAAAUACCAUUUAAAAUUCAGGUCCUCAAGCCCUAGCCACGUUUCUAAUGAGCAAUAGCCUCACGCGGCUAGUGGCUGUCCCAGUGGACAACGCGCAGAUCAUAGAACUUUUUCAUCAUCCCAGAAAGUUCUUUUCGGCAGCUUUCUCGGACGCAUCUCUGGCCAAGCCGGGGUCCUUGGUGUGGGCGCGACCGUAACGCCAGUUCUCUCCCUUCUGUG